This 468-nucleotide ribosomal RNA is filed under the name uncultured bacterium. RNAcentral describes it as "partial 16S ribosomal RNA". It matches the Rfam family "Bacterial small subunit ribosomal RNA", at positions 28 to 507 of the family's 1533-position model. The record is from RNAcentral.
GACGAACGCUGGCGGCGUGCUUAAUACAUGCAAGUCGAACGAAAAGGCCCGGCUCUUGUUGGUUUCUCGAUUGGCGAACGCGUGAGUAACACGCGAGUAACCUGUCCUUGACUGUGUGAUAACUUCAGGAAACUGGGGCGAAAAUCGGAUAUGAUCUCUUGCUGCAUGGUGGUGGUUGGAGAGUGUCGGCGGUUGUGGAUGGACUCGCUGGUUAUGAGCUUGUUUGUGAGGUAGGGGCUUACCAAGGCUUUGACGGGUAGCCGGCCUGGGAGGGUUACCGGCCACAUUGGGCCUGCGAGAGGGACCAGAAUGCUAUCGGAGGCAGCAGUGGGAAAUAUUGCACAAUGGCGGGACGUCUGAUGCAGAAACGCCGCGAGCGGGAUGCCGGCCUUCGGGUUGUGAACAGAUUUGGACUGUGACAAAGCGUGAGUGACGGUACUGGGUAAAGAAGCAACGGCUAACUACGUG